AGCGAACGCUGGCGGCAGGCCUAACACAUGCAAGUCGAACGGAUCCUUCGGGAUUAGUGGCGGACGGGUGAGUAACACGUGGGAACGUGCCCUUUGGCUCGGAACAACUCAGGGAAACUUGAGCUAAUACCGGAUGUGCCCUUCGGGGGAAAGAUUUAUCGCCAUUGGAGCGGCCCGCGUCUGAUUAGCUAGUUGGUGAGGUAACGGCCCACCAAGGCGACGAUCAGUAGCUGGUCUGAGAGGAUGAUCAGCCACACUGGGACUGAGACACGGCCCAGACUCCUACGGGAGGCAGCAGUGGGGAAUCUUGCGCAAUGGGCGAAAGCCUGACGCAGCCAUGCCGCGUGAAUGAUGAAGGUCUUAGGAUUGUAAAAUUCUUUCAGCGGGGACGAUAAUGACGGUACCCGCAGAAGAAGCUCCGGCUAACUUCGUG
RNAcentral lists this ribosomal RNA (433 nucleotides) under uncultured bacterium. RNAcentral describes it as "partial 16S ribosomal RNA". It matches the Rfam family "Bacterial small subunit ribosomal RNA", at positions 29 to 507 of the family's 1533-position model. The record is from RNAcentral.